UCAGUGAAUCAUCGAAUCUUUGAACGCACAUUGCGCCCCUUGGUAUUCCGGGGGGCAUGCCUGUUCGAGCGUCAUUUCAACCCUUACGCCUGGCGUAGUCUUGGGCCGUACCCUCACGGGUAGGCCUUAAAAUCAGUGGCGGUGCCCUUGCGGUCCUGAGCGUAGUACUUUUUUCUCGCUAUAGGCCCCGGGAGGACGCUUGCCAGCAACCCCAAUUUUUUUCUGGUUGACCUCGGAUCAGGUAGGGAUACCCGCUGAACUUAAGCAUAUCAAUAAGCGGAGGAAAAGAAACCAACAGGGAUUACCUCAGUAACGGCGAGUGAAGCGGUAAAAGCUCAAAUUUGAAAUCUGGCCCUUUCAGGGUCCGAGUUGUAAUUUGUAGAAGAUGUUUCGGGUGUGGCUCCGGGCUAAGUUCCUUGGAACAGGGCGUCAUAGAGGGUGAGAAUCCCGUAUGUGCCUGGCAGCCUACGCCUAUGUGAAACUCUUUCGACGAGUCGAGUUGUUUGGGAAUGCAGCUCAAAAUGGGUGGUAAAUUUCAUCUAAAGCUAAAUAUUGGCCAGAGACCGAUAGCGCACAAGUAGAGUGAUCGAAAGAUGAAAAGCACUUUGGAAAGAGAGUUAAACAGUACGUGAAAUUGUUGAAAGGGAAGCGCUUGCAAUCAGACUUGGGCCUAGGCGAUCAUGUAGGGUUCUCCCUGCUGCACUCGGUUAGGCCCAGGCCAGCAUCGGUUUUGGUGGUGGGAUAAAGGCCCUGGGAAUGUGGCCCCUCUCGGGGGGUGUUAUAGCCCAGGGUGCAAUGCCGCCUACUGGGACCGAGGACCGC
This 822-nucleotide ribosomal RNA is filed under the name fungal sp. ARIZ AZ0941. Its description in RNAcentral is "eukaryotic LSU rRNA". The stretch from base 228 to 822 matches the Rfam family "Eukaryotic large subunit ribosomal RNA", at positions 1 to 598 of the family's 3401-position model. Lineage: Eukaryota; Fungi. The record is from RNAcentral.